Molecule: ribosomal RNA, 398 nt
Filed under: uncultured bacterium
Lineage: Bacteria
Description: partial 16S ribosomal RNA
Rfam family: Bacterial small subunit ribosomal RNA
Source: RNAcentral
CCUACGGGAGGCAGCAGUGAGGAAUAUUGGUCAAUGGCCGGAAGCCUGAACCAGCCAAGCCGCGUGAGGGACGAAGGUGCUAAGCAUUGUAAACCUCUUUUGUCAAGGGACAAAAUCAGCCACGAGUGCCUGGCUGAGGGUACCUGACGAAAAAGCAUCGGCUAACUCCGUGCCAGCAGCCGCGGUAAUACGGAGGAUGCGAGCGUUAUCCGGAUUUAUUGGGUUAAAAGGGUGCGUAGGCGGGCUGUUAAGUCAGCGGUAAAAGCCCGGGGCUCAACCCCGCCCGGCCGUUGAAACUGGGUGUCUUGAGAUGGCAACAGGUAGGCGGAAUGCGCGGUGUAGCGGUGAAAUGCUUAGAUAUUGCGCAGAACCCCGAUUGCGAAGGCAGCAUACCGGCG